AUUGAACGCUGGCGGCAGGCCUAAAACAUGCAAGUCGAACGGUAACAGGAAGCAGCUUGCUGCUUUGCUGACGAGUGGCGGACGGGUGAGUAAUGUCUGGGAAACUUCCCGAUGGAGGGGGAUAACUACUGGAAACGGUAGCUAAUACCGCAUAACGUCGCAAGACCAAAGAGGGGGACCUUAGGGCCUCUUGCCAUCGGAUGUGCCCGGAUGGGAUUAGCUAGUAGGUGGGGUAACGGCUCACCUAGGCGACGAUCCCUAGCUGGUCUGAGAGGAUGACCAGCCACACGGGAACUGAGACACGGCCCAGACCCCUACGGGAGGCAGCAUUGGGAAAUAUUGCAAAAGGGGCGCAAGCCUGAGGCAGCCAGGCCGCGGUUAUGAAGAAGGCCUGCGGUUUUUAAAGUACUUUAAGCGGGGAGAAAGGGAUUAAAUUUAAAACCUGUCCUCAUGAACGUAACCCGAAGAAGAAGCACCGGCAAACUCCUG
RNAcentral lists this ribosomal RNA (489 nucleotides) under uncultured bacterium. Its description in RNAcentral is "partial 16S ribosomal RNA". It matches the Rfam family "Bacterial small subunit ribosomal RNA", at positions 30 to 506 of the family's 1533-position model. The record is from RNAcentral.